Molecule: ribosomal RNA, 497 nt
Filed under: uncultured bacterium
Lineage: Bacteria
Description: partial 16S ribosomal RNA
Rfam family: Bacterial small subunit ribosomal RNA
Source: RNAcentral
GAUGAACGCUGGCGGCGUGCCUAAUACAUGCAAGUCGAGCGAACAGAUGAGGAGCUUGCUCCUCUGACGUUAGCGGCGGACGGGUGAGUAACACGUGGAUAACCUACUUCUAAGACGGGGAUAACUUCGGGAAACCGGAGCUAAUACCGGAUAAUAUAUUGAACCGCAUGGUUCAAUAGUGAAUGACGGCUUUGCUGUCUCGUAUAGAUGGAUCCGCGCCGCAUUAGCUAGUUGGUAAGGUAACGGCUUACCAAGGCAACGAUGCGUAGCCGACCUGAGAGGAUGAUCGGCCACACUGGAACUGAGACACGGUCCAGACUCCUACGGGAGGCAGCAGUAGGGAAUCUUCCGCAAUGGGCGCAAGCCUGACGCAGCAACGCCGCGUGAGUGAUGAAGGUCUUCGGGUCGUAAAACUCUGUUGUUGGGGAAGAACAACUGUGUAAGUAUCUCUGCCCGUCUUGACGGUACCUAAUCAGAAAGCCCCGGCUAACUACGUG